GUCUUUUUUUUCUUUUUUCUUUUCUUUUCUUUUUCUUUUUCUUUUUUCUUUUUUUCUUUUCUUUUCUUUUCUUUUCUUUUUUUUAGGAAGAAGUAGAGGGAGAUGGAGAGAGAGAAUCUUAAGUAGGCUCCAUGCCCAGCAUGGAGGUCAAGCCCACCUGAGACCCUGACCUGAGCUGAAAGCAAGAGUGGGACCCUUAACUGACUGAACCACCCAGGCAUCCCCAAAAUGUGUCUUCUAAAGCCAAGUGAAAUAAUUGGAAAUACUGCAUAAAUAUAUGAUACCAAAGAUCUUUCCAAAGAGAGAGGAUAUAUUUAAAAUGCUGUCAGUAUGGUGCACAUGUGUCUGUUCUAAUGCAACUUCCCCUGCUUUGGUAUUAUUUGAUACACUCGGAAAAAAUGUUAGCAAACACCUAUAGUCAUGAUUCUUUUACCUGGUACAGUGACCCGAACCUUCAUUCCCGAAGCUUCUCAGUAGGAGUCUUGCCUGCACUGGAUUUUUGCAGUUUUCCAUCCCUUUGUGUUUGGAACAGUGGGCAUCAUAAUUUAUUGCAGCUUGCAGUCCUCCUCAUCGUGGGCAAUACUCUUACCACGUCAAAGCCCUGGCAACGUCCGGUUGUACAAUCAGCCACGACAAACGACAGGAGGGGAUCUGAGCGCCCUCUACCCACAAGACACACGACUGGAGAAAAGAGUGCCCGACUGACAAGUCAACGCCCGUCUGUGACUGAUAAAGCUCGGCAGGGAUGUGAGUGACAGGACCUUCCCUGCAACACCACUCAGGCUGUAUGACAGUCUAGAAAGGAGGGGAGCCCUACGACCUCUGCCUUCUGCACAUAUAUGCACCCAGGCACAUCCAUGGAGCUAUUCUCCAUCUACGGAGUCUCCACGAAGAAUCCUCCUCCACCACGGACGACCUGCCCCAACAAAGUGCCAUCCUCAUCCCAAGCGCAUGUUUCUGCUUUUCCCAAACCAUAGCUUGUGAGAUAUUCUAAAGGCUGGUCUUGUUCCUUGCAGGGAACACCCAGGCACUCCAGUCUGUGACUAUAAAAUAAAGUUAAAC
RNAcentral lists this long non-coding RNA (1062 nucleotides) under Vulpes vulpes (red fox). Its description in RNAcentral is "lncRNA (ENSVVUG00000021619.1)". The record is from RNAcentral. Lineage: Eukaryota; Metazoa; Chordata; Mammalia; Carnivora; Canidae.